Molecule: ribosomal RNA, 605 nt
Filed under: uncultured soil bacterium
Lineage: Bacteria
Description: bacterial SSU rRNA
Rfam family: Bacterial small subunit ribosomal RNA
Source: RNAcentral
GAGGAGCCUGCGGCAGAUUAGCUAGUUGGUAAGGUAACGGCUUACCAAGGCGAUGAUCUGUAGCCGGCCUGAGAGGGCGGUCGGCCACACUGACACUGACAUACGGGUCAGACUCCUACGGGAGGCAGCAGUCGGGAAUUUUGGGCAAUGGGCGAAAGCCUGACCCAGCAACGCCGCGUGAAGGAUGAAAUCCUUCGGGAUGUAAACUUCGCAAGAACGGGAAGAAUAAGUAAGAGUUAAUAUCUCUUACGAUGACGGUACUGUUUGUAAGCUCCGGCUAACUCCGUGCCAGCAGCCGCGGUAAUACGGGGGGAGCAAGCGUUGUUCGGAUUUACUGGGCGUAAAGGGCGCGUAGGCGGCCACCGCAAGUCGACUGUGAAAUCUCCGGGCUUAACCCGGAAAGGUCAGCCGAUACUGCGGGGCUAGAGUGCAGAAGGGGCAACUGGAAUUCUCGGUGUAGCGGUGAAAUGCGUAGAUAUCGAGAGGAACACCUGCGGCGAAGGCGGGUUGCUGGGCUGACACUGACGCCGAGGCGCGAAAACUAGGGGAGCGAACGGGAUUAGAUACCCCGGUAGUCCUAGCCUUAAACGAUGAAUGCUUGGUGU